Molecule: non-coding RNA, 182 nt
Filed under: Caballeronia udeis
Lineage: Bacteria; Pseudomonadati; Pseudomonadota; Betaproteobacteria; Burkholderiales; Burkholderiaceae
Description: Burkholderia udeis FMN sequence
Rfam family: FMN riboswitch aptamer (RFN element)
About the family: The RFN element is a highly conserved domain that is found frequently in the 5'-untranslated regions of prokaryotic mRNAs that encode for flavin mononucleotide (FMN) biosynthesis and transport proteins. This element is a metabolite-dependent riboswitch that directly binds FMN in the absence of proteins.
Source: RNAcentral
GUACGUCUUCAGGGCGGGGUGCAAUUCCCCACCGGCGGUAUACGGGGCGGCGAAAGCCUCUCGUGAGCCCGCGAGCGCCCGUGAACGCAGCUCGCUUUGCAAGUGCGAGCCACGCAACGGGGUCAGCAGAUCUGGUGAGAUGCCAGAGCCGACGGUCAUAGUCCGGAUGGAAGAAGAUGUGC